RNAcentral lists this ribosomal RNA (480 nucleotides) under uncultured bacterium. Its description in RNAcentral is "bacterial SSU rRNA". It matches the Rfam family "Bacterial small subunit ribosomal RNA", at positions 30 to 542 of the family's 1533-position model. The record is from RNAcentral.
AUUGAACGCUGGCGGCAUGGCUAAAACAUGCAAGUCGAGCGCGAAAGAGGAGCAAUCCUCAUGUAGAGCGGCGAAAGGGUGAGUAAUACGUUCCUACGUACCUCGAGGUCAGGGAUAGCCAGGGGAAACUCUGGGUAAUACCUGAUGUGGUCGAGAGAUCAAAGGCUUGCCGCCUUGAGAGCGGGGAACGUCCUAUCAGCUAGUUGGUGAGGUAACGGCUCACCAAGGCUUUGACGGGUAGCGGGUGUGAGAGCAUGGCCCGCCACAUCGGAACUGAGACACUGUCCGGACUCCUACGGGAGGCUGCAGUAACGAAUCUUCCGCUAUGCGCGCAAGCGUGACGGAGCAAUGCCGCGUGCAGGAUGAAGCCCUUCGGGGUGUAAACUGCUGUCAGGGUUUAGAAACACAAUGAUCAAACCCAAAGGAAGAGACGACUAACUCUGUGCCAGCAGUCGCGGUAAUACAGAGGUCUCGAGCGUU